UAUUGGGCAAUGGGCGCAAGCCUGACCCAGCAAUGCCGCGUGGGUGAAGAAGGUCUUCGGAUUGUAAAGCCCUUUCGGCGGGGACGAUGAUGACGGUACCCGCAGAAGAAGCCCCGGCUAACUUCGCGCCAGCAGCCGCGGUAAUACGAAGGGGGCUAGCGUUGCUCGGAAUCACUGGGCGUAAAGGGCGCGUAGGCGGCCCUGUUGGUCCGGCGUGAAAUCCCUGGGCUUAACCUGGGGGCUGCGCUGGAGACGGCGGGGCUGGAGGCCGAGAGAGGGUGGUGGAAUUCCCAGUGUAGAGGUGAAAUUCGUAGAUAUUGGGAAGAACACCGGUGGCGAAGGCGGCCACCUGGCUCGGACCUGACGCUGAGCGCGAGA
This 378-nucleotide ribosomal RNA is filed under the name uncultured bacterium. RNAcentral describes it as "bacterial SSU rRNA". It matches the Rfam family "Bacterial small subunit ribosomal RNA", at positions 362 to 758 of the family's 1533-position model. The record is from RNAcentral.